RNAcentral lists this ribosomal RNA (292 nucleotides) under uncultured bacterium. Its description in RNAcentral is "partial 16S ribosomal RNA". It matches the Rfam family "Bacterial small subunit ribosomal RNA", at positions 505 to 796 of the family's 1533-position model. The record is from RNAcentral.
GUGCCAGCAGCCGCGGUAAGACGAAGGUCCCAAGCGUUGUUCGGAAUUACUGGGCGUAAAGGGUGCGUAGGCGGCGCGGAAAGUCAGAUGUGAAAGCCCCGGGCUCAACCCGGGAAUGGCAUCCGAUACUCCCGCGCUCGAGGACUGGAGAGGAGUCUGGAAUUCACGGUGUAGCAGUGAAAUGCGUAGAUAUCGUGAGGAACACUAGUGGCGAAGGCGAGACUCUGGACAGUUCCUGACGCUGAGGCACGAAGGCCAGGGGAGCGAAGGGGAUUAGAAACCCCUGUAGUCC